Molecule: ribosomal RNA, 608 nt
Filed under: Cortinarius diasemospermus
Lineage: Eukaryota; Fungi; Basidiomycota; Agaricomycetes; Agaricales; Cortinariaceae
Description: eukaryotic LSU rRNA
Rfam family: 5.8S ribosomal RNA (bases 222-375)
Source: RNAcentral
UAGAGGAAGUAAAAGUCGUAACAAGGUUUCCGUAGGUGAACCUGCGGAAGGAUCAUUAUUGAAAUAAACCUGAUGGGUUGUUGCUGGUUCUCUAGGGAGCAUGUGCACACCUUGUCAUCUUUAUAUCUCCACCUGUGCACCUUUUGUAGACCUUUCAGGUCUAUGUUGCUUCAUUUACCCCAAUGUAUGUUAAUAGAAUGUUGUGCCUAUAUAAUAUAUACAACUUUCAGCAACGGAUCUCUUGGCUCUCGCAUCGAUGAAGAACGCAGCGAAAUGCGAUAAGUAAUGUGAAUUGCAGAAUUCAGUGAAUCAUCGAAUCUUUGAACGCACCUUGCGCUCCUUGGUAUUCCGAGGAGCAUGCCUGUUUGAGUGUCAUUAAUAUAUCAACCUUCUCUUUUUGAGUGGUUUGGAUGUGGGGGUUUGCUGGCCUCUUAAAAGGUCUUGGCUCUCCUGAAAUACAUUAGCAGAACAACCCUGUUCAUUGGUGUGAUAACUAUCUACGCUAUUGAAUGUGAAGGGCAGUUUGGCUUUCUAACAGUCCUUGGACAAGCUCAUCAUUAAUGUGACCUCAAAUCAGGUAGGACUACCCGCUGAACUUAAGCAUAUCA